This 2399-nucleotide long non-coding RNA is filed under the name Sciurus vulgaris (Eurasian red squirrel). RNAcentral's name for it is "lncRNA (ENSSVLG00005019258.1)". Lineage: Eukaryota; Metazoa; Chordata; Mammalia; Rodentia; Sciuridae. The record is from RNAcentral.
GUGAUUUGGCCUUGGUUUCAGUCAAGCAGCUGAUGCAGAGGAGGGCCCGGUUUGUAGGGCUGGCAAAGUGCACACUAAAGAAAGAAGAAAUUUAAAAAAAAAAAAAAAAAAAAAAAAAAAAAGCCCCCGUUCUAGGGAGGUUUCUCUCUCUCUCUUUUUCUUUUUCAAAAAUUUUUAACUGAAUAUUUUCCAAAUUUGAUCAGCCCAGCCCCUCCCUCCAUUCCCAGCCAACUGCCUUUUUUUUCUCUCGUGAAAACAUAAACUACAGAGUUACAGUCUCUAGAUUUGGUGUAUCGCUUCCUGCCCCCGCCUCCCCCUCCCCGCCCCGCUCUCUGUCCUCUAUUGAAACACCUCGCCCAGCCUAGCGCACUGCGAGCUCACAUUCUCCCCCUUGCCCGGGAUGGUGCUGCUGGAGGCUGUGCAGCCCGGCUCCGCUUCGAACGGUUGUGUCGAUGUUCCUUUCAGCUGGUCCUAUAGCCCCCCUCCUCAGGAAUGUCUUCCUAGUGAAAGGACAAAGGCUGCAGAGACUGCUAUAUUGAUGGACCCUCACGCCAACUGUGAAGUUGAAACAAAGAAAGUGACCACCUGAAGACACCUCUCCUGUCCAGCAACACACCCAAAUGUGCAGUUUCAGCCAAUAAAACCCUCAGAAUAAGAGCAAUCUUUUCAAGAAACAGAAAAACCCAGUACUGACAUCUAGAUCUCUGAUGAGCCAAGAACUUACCCUUCCUUGUGUGUAUUCCUCUGUUUGUAUUUAAAUUCAUGUGACAUUCAUUUUCUUUCCUACUAUGAAUAUGAUUGUUAAUGCACUAGCUUUAGAAUCUAAAUGGGCACAAAUGUGCUACUGUGUUAAGGAACAAAAUCAAUGCCAUAAGGAGAAUGAUUUUUAGCCACACAUAGAAUUUCUUCUUCAGAGCAACCUAGAAAAUUAAAAGUACCCUAGAAAUAACAAGGCAGUCACAGGCAAGUCAAAGGAUCAAGUAAUGGGAGAUAUUCAGAGUGCAGCAUAGAAAUGUCACACAAUUUCACCUGACACCAACCCAUCAACCAUUAUUUUUAUAAAGAAGGCUCUGUUCUGUGCUAUCUGGUCAGCUCGUAAGAAGUUUCAAUCUAGUUAGAUGAAGUGACAUAAACUUUUGAAAAGAUGAAUAACUCAUUGGGUCAGAGGAUGAUAAGAGCCAAAGUGGAACAAAAGGUAUAGAUAAUGAGCUCAAAAAAGGUUGUCAUGACAUGGGUGGAACUGACUUUUGGGGGAAGAAAACUCCCCAAAGAGGAAAAUGUGAGAUGAAUCUUGAAGGACUCAAAAAUUUAGAUAAAUGAAAGGUAGGAGAAACAGACCACCAUUGGACAUGAUGGGAGGAGGAAAUACGGAUACAUGGUACAUUUAGGAGACGAUGACUUCACCCCAGACAUUCAGCACCAGUCCCUGUGUAUCUGAUGAACACUACACACAUACCUCCCCUCACCUAGACACCUGCUGCUGAAGGAAAUGAGGGUAAUUGGUGACAAUAUGAAGAAUUCAUGAUUUUUCUGUUCAUAAUAAUUGAUAUUUAUUAAGUUCUCACUGUAUAUUUUUUCCAUAUAAACUCAAGCCUCACAACAGCUAAGCAAAUUAGGUAAUAUUAUCCCCAUCUUACAGGCAGCAAAACAGGUUUAAGGAGGUUUGCCAAGGUGCCAGGUAUAGAGACUCACAAUCAGGAUUGUGACUGCAAAACACAUGAUCUAACGCAAGAAGUCACAAUAUUGCGAUCAAUGUCCAGAGGAUCACCUUUUUUUAAUAUUUCUUGAUAGUUGUGGGGUUUUUAUUGAGUUAUCACCUCAAUCUUUUCAGCUUUAUAGUUUUUAGUUAUUCAGCACAUUCUAUCACUGUAGUUGCAGUAGAGUGAUAGAAUCAUGCAAAACUGGGGGAGUAGAGCUUGUCACCAUUUUAGACAUUUCUUUUUUUGUUUUCUUUUUCCUUCUUUCUUAUUUUGUUUCCUUUGCUAGAUUUUGAUGAGAUUUUCUACUUUGUUCUACAAGAAAUGACACAUCCUUGAAAACAAAAAAGGGAGGGGCUUAAUCACUUAUCACAAUAUCCCUUUUUUACAGAUAAGACAAAUCAUUAUGUAAGUUUAGAGUGACUUAUAGAAGGUCACAUAUUUAACUGUGGCAGAUCAAGGAGCAGAAACCAGGCCCGAAAUGGUUCUUGAAUUACUACUCCACCCUGCCUAAAUGAUGCAUGACCUUGAAUUUGAUUAGAGGAAACACUCUAUCUAGGUAAUCAGGGGGCAUUGUACUGAGUAGGUGGCUUCAAUCUGCACCUCUUUGGCAUCCCAGGUCAGUGUGAAAUGUAGCUAGCUAUACAUGUCUUUACAUCCAUAAAUGGCCAACAUCCACUCCCAAAGAACACACAGUAGCCA